GACGAACGCUGGCGGCGUGCCUAACACAUGCAAGUCGAGCGAGUGAAUCUCCUUCGGGAGUGAAACUAGCGGCGGACGGGUGAGUAACACGUGGGCAACCUGCCUCAUAGAGGGGAAUAGCCUUUCGAAAGGAAGAUUAAUACCGCAUAAGAUUGUAGCUUCGCAUGAAGUAGCAAUUAAAGGAGUAAUCCGCUAUGAGAUGAGUCCGCGGCCCAUUAGCUAGUUGGUGAGAUAAUAGCCCACCAAGGCUUUGAUGGGUAGCCGAGCUAAGAGGUUGAUCGGCCACACUGGGACUGAGAUACGGCCCAGACACCUACGGGUGGCAGCAGUAGGGAAUAUUGGACAAUGGACGAAAGUCUGAUCCAGCAAUGCCGCGUGAGUGACGAAGGAUUUCGGUCUGUAAAGCUCUUUUCUGAGGGAAGAAAUGACACGUGAGGAAAUGCUCGUGUCUUGACGGUACCUCAGGAAUAAGGGACGGCUAACUCCGU
RNAcentral lists this ribosomal RNA (488 nucleotides) under uncultured bacterium. RNAcentral's name for it is "bacterial SSU rRNA". It matches the Rfam family "Bacterial small subunit ribosomal RNA", at positions 28 to 506 of the family's 1533-position model. The record is from RNAcentral.